RNAcentral lists this ribosomal RNA (940 nucleotides) under uncultured bacterium. RNAcentral describes it as "bacterial SSU rRNA". It matches the Rfam family "Bacterial small subunit ribosomal RNA", at positions 553 to 1504 of the family's 1533-position model. The record is from RNAcentral.
ACUGGGCUUAAAGAGUUCGUAGGUGGUUGAAAAAGUUGGUGGUGAAAUCCCAGAGCUUAACUCUGGAACUGCCAUCAAAACUUUUCAGCUAGAGUUUGAUAGAGGAAAGCAGAAUUUCUAGUGUAGAGGUGAAAUUCGUAGAUAUUAGAAAGAAUACCAAUUGCGAAGGCAGCUUUCUGGAUCAUUACUGACACUGAGGAACGAAAGCAUGGGUAGCGAAGAGGAUUAGAUACCCUCGUAGUCCAUGCCGUAAACGAUGUGUGUUAGACGUUGGAAAUUUAUUUUCAGUGUCGCAGCGAAAGCGAUAAACACACCGCCUGGGGAGUACGACCGCAAGGUUAAAACUCAAAUGAAUUGACGGGGACCCGCACAAGUAGUGGAGCAUGUGGUUUAAUUCGAAGAUACGCGCAGAACCUUACCAACACUUGACAUGUUCGUCGCAACUUUAAGAGAUUAAAGUUUUCGGUUCGGCCGGACGAAACACAGGUGCUGCAUGGCUGUCGUCAGCUCGUGUCGUGAGAUGUUGGGUUAAGUCCCGCAACGAGCGCAACCCUCACUUUUAGUUGCCAUCAUUAAGUUGGGCACUCUGAAAGAACUGCCAGUGAUAAGCUGGAGGAAGGUGGGGAUGACGUCAAGUCCUCAUGGCCCUUACGUGUUGGGCUACACACGUGCUACAAUGGUAUUUACAAAAGGAAGCAAAACGGCGACGUUUAGCAAAUCCUAAAAAAAUACCUCAGUUCGGAUUGCACUCUGCAACUCGAGUGCAUGAAGCUGGAAUUACUAGUAAUCGUGGAUCAGCGUGCCACGGUGAAUGCGUUCCCGGGUCUUGUACACACCGCCCGUCACACCAUGGGAGUUGGUUCUACCUUAAGGCAAGGUUUAAAACCCUUGACCACGGUAUAGUCAGCGACUGGGGUGAAGUCGUAACAAGGUAGCCGUA